AGGGGAGGGGAGGGUCCCGCGCGGCCUCCGCAGCCGGCCGCCGGCAGCCUGACCGCGGGAUACAAGGGCCUAUUGACCCGCCGGCAGUCUGGGCGCUUGGAGGCCACGAAGGUACAAAGCGGCUUACCCUGCCCCCUGUGCCAGCUGCUACGACGCCGACGUUCGUAACCGCCUUCAACCCAGAGGCAGUUUCGUCCCGGGCUGCAGUAAAAGCAGCAGCGGCGGGAGCCGGGGAGGCCGCUGUCGCCGCCGCGCGCCCGUCCGACCCCCGCCCGAGCCGGCUCAGCUCCGAGCUCCGAGCGUCAGGCACGGCCGGGCGGGCCCAGGGCGGACGCGCUCCGACUCCCGCUUGGGGCUGGCGGCUGGCGGCUGGCGGCUGGNNNNNNNNNNNNNNNNNNNNNNNNNNNNNNNNNNNNNNNNNNNNNNNNNNNGGGGGGCGGGGGGGGGCGCCCUGGGAGCCAGGCAGGUCUGCGGAGAGGCUGGAGCGCCCCCGCCUUCCCGGCCCCACCCCCUCCCCGGAGACUGGAGGAGGCCCUGGGCUUCCAAGCAUUUCUUACUGGCUAUUUGGAAGCUCCUCAGAGCUGACUCCAAAGCAUCCAGAGGGCUGUGCCAGCGAUUCUGCGGAGGCCACGAGAGCCCCAGCGCGGCCGCCCAGGGCUCCCGAGGGGUCCCCGCACCCCCCUGGACGGCAUCCUGUGGCCUGGCCCUCCCCUGUCUCAGAUGCUGCGUGGCUUCCUGGAGGCUUCUGGGGGAUAUGGAAACUGUGUACUCGAAGAAAAAUCCGUACGGGAAAAUCCAAGUCAAACGAAGAAAACAGCACCACCUGUCACCUAGGAAACCGGUUCACACUGGCUGAUAUUGAAGAGGGCACCCUUUCUCAUUACAAAUUUGCACUUGCAGCUGGGCUCCCGGUGACCUUGCCCAGGGCCUGAAAGCUAAUCCGAUGAGCAUGAAUGAAGGUGCUGGGGUCCUGCACCCCCCACCUGACAUCCUGAGGACUGAGCCCCUGGGCCCCAGCAGAUCUGCCUCUGCUGCCCCUCCGGAGCCUGCGGAAGCUGUUAAACAUGCCCAUUUCUUUAAGAAGGAGGCUGCAAAGUGUUUUGUUUGGAAAAUGGUUUCAAAAUAAUAAUAAUGCUCUCUGAGUUGUAACUCGGCAAGGCCGGGUGGUUUCGAACCUUGACCAUCGUUGUUUUUCACCAAGUUCCCAGAGCCUGCAGGUUAGCAUUGCACUUGAGGCCUUGAGAGGAGGACAAAGGCCUUAGAUUCCCAGUUUAGGCUUAAUUUAAAAGGGGGGGGAGGGGGCGGUGUGCCCGGACAAAAGGAAUCCCGUGGCACUUGUCAGCGGGCUAAGUCUUUAUUCUGAAGCUUUGGCAACCGUGGCUCCUUUCUCUGCCCCGCGUGUGCCAGUUGGCUCAGGGACUUCUGUCAAGAGAGUCUGUGCGCCAGCUGUAUGCAAAGUGCGGGCGGGCGGCGCUGCGGAGAGAGGCAGCUGCGUGUGUUCUUUCUCUGCCACUGGUUUCUCCCCAGCCCUCCUCCUGCUCCCUUUUGUGUAAUAACAACAGCUGACCAACACCUUUAGCCACGGGUCCCAUCCUAAGCACAUCAUAUGUAUGAAAUGAUUUCAUUCUUACAACAGCCUGCGAGCUGGGCACCUUUGUAUUCGGAUUUCAGACAUGGGGCUCACAGACACACAGGUCUUGGCGUUUUUGGGGCAGGCGCUGGCUCUGAGACCCUCAGCGCUGUGCCUCCCAACCCCACUCACUUGCAGCUGGUGUGAGAGGUUCCGCCCAGGACUUGGACGGGAGUGCGAG
RNAcentral lists this long non-coding RNA (1811 nucleotides) under Vulpes vulpes (red fox). RNAcentral describes it as "lncRNA (ENSVVUG00000011755.1)". The record is from RNAcentral. Lineage: Eukaryota; Metazoa; Chordata; Mammalia; Carnivora; Canidae.